CCUACGGGUGGCUGCAGUGGGGAAUAUUGGGCAUUGGGCGCAAGCCUGACCCAGCAACGCCGCGUGAAGGAAGAAGGCUUUCGGGUUGUAAACUUCUUUUCUUAGAGACGAAGAAUGAUACGGUUCCUCCUUAAUAAUCCUCCGUUAACUACGUGCCAGCAGCCGCGGUAAUCCGUAGGCGGCAAGCCUUAUUCGGAUUCAUUGGGUGUAAAGGUAGUGUAGGCGGGAAGGCAAGUCUGAGGGGAAAGCUUGGGGCUCAACCGGGAGACUGCAUUUGAAACUGGUUGUCUUGAGUGCUGAAGAGGUAAGCGGAAUUCGAGGUGUAGCGGUGAAAUGCGUAGAUAUAAGGAGGAACACCAGUGGCGAAGGCGGAUUGCU
Molecule: ribosomal RNA, 378 nt
Filed under: uncultured bacterium
Lineage: Bacteria
Description: partial 16S ribosomal RNA
Rfam family: Bacterial small subunit ribosomal RNA
Source: RNAcentral